Molecule: transfer RNA, 67 nt
Filed under: Halorubrum vacuolatum
Lineage: Archaea; Methanobacteriati; Methanobacteriota; Halobacteria; Halobacteriales; Haloferacaceae
Rfam family: tRNA
About the family: Transfer RNA (tRNA) molecules are approximately 80 nucleotides in length.
Source: Rfam by way of RNAcentral
GUCCCCGUUGGCGAGGGACGCCAGCCUUUCGAGCUGGAGGUCGGGGGUUCAAUUCCCCUCGGGAGCA